This 1653-nucleotide long non-coding RNA is filed under the name Helianthus annuus (common sunflower). Its description in RNAcentral is "hypothetical non coding rna". Lineage: Eukaryota; Viridiplantae; Streptophyta; Magnoliopsida; Asterales; Asteraceae. The record is from RNAcentral.
UUUGAAGAAGACACGGGGGAAAUUUUAUAGGAUGGCAGUGAGACCGACUAUUGUAAAUGGAACAGAGUGUUGGGCUAUCAAGAAGACACAGACGCGUCAGCUGUAGGUAGCAGAGAUGAGGAUGUUGCGGUGGAUGUGUAGACACAAUAGGUUGGAUAAGAUAAGAAAUGAGGUUUUUACGGUAAAAUUAGGGUUGCUAGUAUAUCUGACAAGAUAAGGGAAGGGAGUUGAGAUAGUUUGGCCAUAUUAGGAGGAGACCGACAGUGGCCACAGUUAAAACCGUGGAAACCAUUAGUGUGGAGGGAAGGAGGAGUAGAGGUAGACCAAAACUGAUUUGGGAGGAGAGGAUUAGACAGGAUUUGAUAGACUUGCACCUUUCUGAGGACAAGGUCAAGAAUAAGAGUUCUUGGAGACAUAGGAUUAAAAUUAACGACAUUUAGGAGGAUAGUUCGAUUUGGUAUUAGAUGCUCAACUUAGGGGCUUGAUUUUUCAUCUUUAUAUUGAUAGCCUAUGUGUGUUAUUGCUUGCAUUUGUGAGUUGGGGAGGGGGGUUCUCACUAGAAGCGGCCUCUCUAUCCCCUGAGAUAGAGGUAAGGAUUGCCUACAUCUCACCCUCUCGAGACCCUACCAAUAGCUUGGCUAUAGGUGGGAUUAUAUUGGGUACGAUUGUUGUUGUUGUACAGGCCUUUGAAACUAUGAUUUAUGAUUUUCUAUUUUAGUUAUACCACUUACUUUAUUUACGUACAAAGUAUUUUUUUUUUAUAUCGUAAGCUAUAGCGAGACUCGGUACUGUACCGGUAUUGUGACAAACCAAAUUGAUAUCGCCCCAACAGUAUCGGUAUCAUGUGAUUCCAACUGAACAAGAUAUUCACUUUUAUUGUUUUCCAAAGAUGUAAACAUGUGUCCAUAUCCAUUUGGGCAUAUCAUGAUUUUUUUGGGUUUUAUCUUUCGGUUACUAUAACAAUGUUAGCAAUGUUUCGAUAUGAUAAUCAACCGAACCAAUAUUGAUCGAAUUCCCCACGCAACGUACAGAUAAUUUCACUAGUUAAAUUUAUAUAAAAAAAAAUUCACUCUAAUUUCACGAGUCUUCUCAUGAAGCUUCAAACACACAAAACCUGAGUUAAUAUUUAUUUAAUUUUUCAUAAAAUUUUAGAACAAAAUAUUUGUUUUUUUAUUCUAAAAUUUCACGAUAAAAAUUUUGUAAAUGACAUUUCUGUAACUUUAAAAAAUAUUUUGUAAAUGACAUUUCUGUCCCUUUCUUUGCGAUCCCAAAUUAUAUCCCUCCCAUGCAGAAAUUAUUAAAUUAUUGAUCGAAUGAUAGGUUGAUCUUUAUUCUUUUUCACCUACCAGAAAUUAUUAAAUUAAUUUUUACCUAGCAGAAAUUAUUAAAUUAUUGAUCGAAUGAUAGGUUGAUCUUAGUCUUUUUCACCUAAUAUUUGUGUGAAUGAUUCAAAGAACCCUUAUAUUUUUGACAAUUAUACGUUUGUAUUUUAACUAGUUAUUACCCCACUCGUGUUGCAAGACACCAAGCUGAAUAUUCCUAUCUCAUGAUAUGUACGUCUGUGUUUUGGUGCUUGUACCUACUACUUAUAAAAUGUUCUCAAAAAAAUUUACAUCGAGUAAAUCAAUUAAAAUAAAACACUGCCAUGCUUUU